UGAUGGACAUAUGAUCUGAGAAUAAGUGAAUCAAGCAACAGGAAAUUAAAAUGGUGUCUCCGACAAUUGAUCUUUUGAAGGGUGAGAUUCCUCUUGAGCAGGAGUCCGUGGUUUUGCCCGAUGAUGCUCUCACCGGUCUUGUUCUUGUUGACAUCAUAAAUGGUUUCUGCACUGUUGGUGCUGGAAAUCUGGCACCAAGACAGCCUAACAGCCAGAUUUCUAGAAUGAUCAAAGAAUCA
Juglans microcarpa x Juglans regia is the source of this 239-nucleotide long non-coding RNA. RefSeq lists it as uncharacterized. The record is from RefSeq and is a predicted model, not a curated record. The transcript is spliced from 2 exons. Lineage: Eukaryota; Viridiplantae; Streptophyta; Magnoliopsida; Fagales; Juglandaceae.